Molecule: ribosomal RNA, 253 nt
Filed under: uncultured bacterium
Lineage: Bacteria
Description: partial 16S ribosomal RNA
Rfam family: Bacterial small subunit ribosomal RNA
Source: RNAcentral
GACAGAGGGUGCAACCGUUGUUCGGAAUUACUGGGCGUAAAGCGUGUGUAGGCGGCUAUGUAAGUCGGAUGUGAAAGCCCCGGGCUCAACCCGGGAAGUGCACUCGAUACUGCGUAGCUUGAGUCUCGGAGAGGUUGGUGGAAUUCUCGGUGUAGAGGUGAAAUUCGUAGAUAUCGAGAGGAACACCGGUGGCGAAGGCGGCCAACUGGACGAAGACUGACGCUGAGACACGAAAGCGUGGGGAGCAAACAGG